GACGAACGCUGGCGGCGUGCUUAACACAUGCAAGUCAAACGGAAAGGCCCCCUUGUGGGGUACUCGAGUGGCGAACGGGUGAGUAACACGUGAGUAACCUACCCUUGACUUUGGGAUAACUUCAGGAAACUGGGGCUAAUACCGGAUAGGAGCUCCUGCUGCAUGGUGGGGGUUGGAAAGUUUCGGCGGUUGGGGAUGGACUCGCGGCUUAUCAGCUUGUUGGUGGGGUAGUGGCUCACCAAGGCUUUGACGGGUAGCCGGCCUGAGAGGGUGACCGGCCACAUUGGGACUGAGAUACGGCCCAGACUCCUACGGGAGGCAGCAGUGGGGAAUAUUGCACAAUGGGCGGAAGCCUGAUGCAGCAACGCCGCGUGCGGGAUGACGGCCUUCGGGUUGUAAACCGCUUUCGCCUGUGACGAAGCGUGAGUGACGGUAAUGGGUAAAGAAGCACCGGCUAACUACGUG
This 465-nucleotide ribosomal RNA is filed under the name uncultured bacterium. RNAcentral's name for it is "partial 16S ribosomal RNA". It matches the Rfam family "Bacterial small subunit ribosomal RNA", at positions 28 to 507 of the family's 1533-position model. The record is from RNAcentral.